UAACAAGCUAUAAAUUAACUUUAUUCCUUUUGCAUAAGGAUUAGUUAAAAAUAAGAAAAUUUUCUAUCAAAGAAAAACACCCAGCUAAAACAAUAAAACCUAUAUAUUAAAUAGAUUUAAAAUAUAGUUUUAAGUAAUAUGCAAUUACGGUGAUUGAUAACUUUUCAAUUUAUACCUUAAGGAUAAUCUUACUCCAAAUCCAUCGAUUAUUAUAAAAACCAAAUUUUAGGAUUAGAAGUAACCAAACUAUUAAUUUGUAGUAAAAUAUUAAUUAUACACAUUAUAACAUUACCGUCUUUUAAAAUUUUAAUUUGAAAAAACGUUUAUUCAGAAAAAAAAUAAUUACGUUAGUAAGAUCAAGUAAAAUUUAAAUUAAAACUCAGCCCAAAAUAUACUACUGUUUAAUAAAAACAUUGCAAUAUCCUUAUAUUGUAAAUCUCCUGCCCAAUGAUAAGUUAAAUGGCCGCAGUAAUCUGACUGUGCAAAGGUAGCAUAAUCAUUUGUUUAUUAAUUUUAAACUAGAAUGAAAGGAAUAAAGUAUAUUGACUGUUAAUUAAAAUCUAACAUAAAUCUUUACCUAAGUGCAAAAACUUAGAAUAAAAAUACAAACGAGAAGACCCUGGGAAUUUUAAUAUUUUUAUUGGGACAAUAUAAAACUAUAUUUCUAAUUAACAAAUAAUACUAACAAAAAAAAAUUACCCCAGGGAUAACAGCACAAUAAUCAUUGAGAGAUCUCAUCCAAAUGAUUGAUUAUGACCUCGAUGUUGAAUCAUUUGAAUAUAUAGUUUGCAGAAGAACCUUAUUUUCGUCUGUUCGACGAUGGAACAUUACGUGAUUUGAGUUUAAACCGUUGCGAAACAGGUUGGAUUCUCUUUUAUUUUUUUAUACUAAGCCUAAACUUAGUACGAAAGGACCAGCACAGAUAAUAAAACUGAUUAUGAUAAAAUUUUUCCGUACAUUCACUUUUAUUUUAUUGCUUCCUGUCAUAUAUGUUUUACUACGUGAAUACCUAGCUUUACCCCUCCAGACCAUUGCCAGCUCCUAUAGCGGAGAGAGAACA
This 1060-nucleotide ribosomal RNA is filed under the name Trichuris trichiura (human whipworm). Its description in RNAcentral is "16S ribosomal RNA". The record is from RNAcentral. Lineage: Eukaryota; Metazoa; Nematoda; Enoplea; Trichinellida; Trichuridae.